This is a non-coding RNA of Onthophagus taurus, 2190 nucleotides long. The record is from RefSeq and is a predicted model, not a curated record. Lineage: Eukaryota; Metazoa; Arthropoda; Insecta; Coleoptera; Scarabaeidae.
AUAUCGGGAAAUUAUAAAAACGAAUUUCAAGUUAAGGAAAUUAACCAAUCAGGAAAGACUAUUUUUCAAUUUCAAACAUUAAACAAACGAAAAUUUAAAUUUUUAGUGUGAUUUUAACCUUGGGGGAGAACACUCGUAAAUUUUGUCCCGUCGAACAUUAUAAACAACAUUUUAGGUUAUGUAAAAAAAUAAAUGUUGACAUAACCUCAAAAAAAAUGUAUUUGACGUGUUUCUCCGAUUCAAAGAAAAAACUAAUAAAAAUAACCUGAUGAAGAAACAUCAUUUUGGUUCCCGUUCCUGAUAAUCCCAGAAUCCCGUACCGUCGCUUUUUUACAAUCAACAAACUAAGCUAAUUGAAAGGAUUAUACUAUAAACAACACAGAUCCCUUUAUCUUUCAUAAAUUUUUAUAGAUUUUCAAGAAAAAUAAAUAAAUAUAACAUUAAUGGAGGGUUGGUUUACGAAUAAGUUAUUAUUUCCUGGGAUGGACGUUUUUAAUUUCUAGUCCGCUUUUCAAGUUGAACUGCGACUUGGUUCCCGGGCCAUUAGUGCAUCGUCUGAAACGACUUUGGUCAUAAAGCAAAGGGACACGCAGUGUUUCACAACGGCACAUUCCGCUUAUCAAAGAAACGUUAACAGCGGCGCACGCAUUAAAUUAUGCAUAUAUCAUUCUCGGGUCGUUGCGUAAUCAAAGCACGACCGAGAGAGCAUUAAAAGCCGGGCUCUGCACAGCGGCAGCGGUGGCGAUUAAAAAAAGGAGGAUACAUGUUAUUUUUUGCGACACGGCCGCCCGCGGGCGCAAACGGGUUAGGUCCGAGUAAUAUAUGGAUAUUAAACGUCACUAGCCCUCGGCCGUUUUAUAAAAAAAGGCGAUGCUACAAAAUAAGGAUUUGUUGGAUAGUUAGAAAAUGUUUACGGGAUUCUUCUUUGAAAAUAUUUCGAAUAUAGAAGCAAUCGUAUAUCACACGGUUAUUAAACGGAUGACCAAACACGAUGGCAAAAUUUACUUCGCCCACAAAGGAUCAGUACGUGACCUGAUUCUACAAACGGUAGUCGGCAACAACUCAGAAUCCCGGUGACCGCUGAUUUGUUUGACGGCGUAUAUCAUCGUUUCGUCACAAUAUUUCGUCCCGGUCCCUCUUUUAUCGGGCAAGUGCAGGCCUUCGGCGUCGUCGUCCCUGGCAAAGUCGUAUCCAGAGCUCGGUCGGCAUCCAUACAUCACGGCACCGAAAUAAAACGGCGCUGAUCUCUCCGGAAGACAGUAGUUUAUGGGGAGGACCCCGGGGAUUUUUCAACGCGCCACCCCAGACAAGACCGUCGUCCUCGUCCUCAUGGGGCGCCUUGCGGCUUAAAGUUUACCUGUAAUUUCAGUAAAAUACGUCUCGAAACGGAAAAGGGAACAUGGGGGAGACGGGAACGGAACUCCGGCGCGUGAAAUUAAUCUGAGAAACAGAUGUUACCACACCGCGUGAUAUUUAAACGUCUUUAGGUGUCUUUGGGUUUCCUUACAUUCUAACGUGUUUUACUGUUGAAAUUGAAGUGUGUUUCUGAUGAUAAUUGCUGAUUAUAAUGGAGGAUAAAUGUUACUAAUUACAUAACCUAUUAAAACUUCUCAACGAACCGUUCAUACACAGACAUCAUUGUAUAAUGUUUUCCAACCAAACUGUUAUCAGUCUCAAAGAAAUGAACGUAAAUCUAAUCCGAUGGUUGUAUAACUUCGGAGAAAGAUGACAUACUGAACUUAAUACACAACUGGAGGUUUCUGCCACUUCUAUGAAUGUAGAAUUCAUCAUCCAAAAAAAUACCAAUAACAGCAUUCCUCAACUUUUGCUAAUGAAGUUCUAAAUCUCGGUGAAUAUGUGAUAACGACGCAAAGGGCCAACCACCACGCCCAAAAUCUAAUCAGGAGACAUGUCAAAAAGACGGAAACAAUCUACAUUUUUCUCUAGUAGGAAAUAUUCUAAGAGAGAGUCUCAUUAUUUCCAAGCCUAACAACAGGUUGAAGAUUCACGUGAGUCAACUCAACGCAAUCAACAAAGAAGAGUAUAGAGAAGAAUUACCAUAAUUAUCAAAUAAACAUAAUAACACCAAGAAACAUAAUGAUUCAGUUAUUUAACAAUAUGUUAUAACCACUCUACAAAGGGUUGAAAUUAAGGAAGGACCGAUAAGAUGUCCUUUUCGAAUGACCACAA